RNAcentral lists this ribosomal RNA (291 nucleotides) under uncultured Blautia sp. Its description in RNAcentral is "partial 16S ribosomal RNA". It matches the Rfam family "Bacterial small subunit ribosomal RNA", at positions 355 to 664 of the family's 1533-position model. Lineage: Bacteria; Bacillati; Bacillota; Clostridia; Lachnospirales; Lachnospiraceae. The record is from RNAcentral.
UGGGGAAUAUUGCACAAUGGGGGAAACCCUGAUGCAGCGACGCCGCGUGAAGGAAGAAGUAUCUCGGUAUGUAAACUUCUAUCAGCAGGGAAGAUAAUGACGGUACCUGACUAAGAAGCCCCGGCUAACUACGUGCCAGCAGCCGCGGUAAUACGUAGGGGGCGAGCGUUAUCCGGAUUUACUGGGUGUAAAGGGAGCGUAGACGGCGUAUCAAGUCUGAUGUGAAAGGCAGGGGCUUAACCCCUGGACUGCAUUGGAAACUGGUAUGCUUGAGUGCCGGGAGGGUAGCGG